AGAGUUUGAUCCUGGCUCAGGACGAACGCUGGCGGCGUGCUUAAUACAUGCAAGUCGAGCGAGGUUACUGUUUUGGAUCCCUUCGGGGUGAAGAAGCUUUAACCUAGCGGCGGACGGGUGAGUAACGCGUGGGUAACCUACCCCAAAGUCCGGGAUAACAGCGGGAAACCGCUGCUAAUACCGGAUGUCUUUACCUUGGGGCAUCUUGAGGUAAAGAAAGGUAACGCUUUGGGAUGGGCCCGCGUCCCAUUAGCUAGUUGGUGAGGUAACGGCUCACCAAGGCGACGAUGGGUAGCCGGCCUGAGAGGGUGGACGGCCACACUGGGACUGAGACACGGCCCAGACUCCUACGGGAGGCAGCAGUAGGGAAUAUUGCGCAAUGGACGGAAGUCUGACGCAGCGACGCCGCGUGAGCGAUGAAGGUCUUCGGAUCGUAAAGCUCUGUCCUUGGGGAAGAAGGCGAAAGCUUGACGGUACCCAAGAAGAAAGCCCCGGCUAACUACGUGCCAGCAGCCGCGGUAAUACGUAGGGGGCGAGCGUUGUCCGGAAUUACUGGGCGUAAAGGGUGCGUAGGCGGCCCUUUAAGUCGGAUGUGAAAGCCCGCGGCUUAACCGCGGAAUGGCAUUCGAAACUGGAGGGCUUGAGUGUCGGAGAGGGUAGUGGAAUUCCCAGUGUAGCGGUGAAAUGCGUAGAUAUUGGGAGGAACACCAGUGGCGAAGGCGACUACCUGGACGAUAACUGACGCUGAGGCACGAAAGCUAGGGGAGCAAACAGGAUUAGAUACCCUGNUAGUCCUAGCCGUAAACGAUGGGUACUAGGUGUGGGUGGUUUCGAUACCAUCCGUGCCGUAGUUAACGCAUUAAGUACCCCGCCUGGGGAGUACGUGCGCAAGCAUGAAACUCAAAUGAAUUGACGG
Molecule: ribosomal RNA, 916 nt
Filed under: uncultured bacterium
Lineage: Bacteria
Description: bacterial SSU rRNA
Rfam family: Bacterial small subunit ribosomal RNA
Source: RNAcentral